UUUUGAGAAAGAAGAACUUAGAAGCAAGUGGGAGAAAGUAGAAGUCAUGUUCAUCUUCUCCAUUUUUGCAACCCAUGGACAGCCUCCACUAAAAGUGCCAUAACUCUCUGCUCACAACUCUGAUUCAGGAGAUAAAUGAGUUUGAAGUUGAUGGAUCCAUGCUGAAAGUGUGAAUAAGAGGGUUACGGGUUUGUUCAUGUUAGAAGUGAAGUUUUGAUCAAGAAGCAAGUUCAAUGGCAGCAAAGAAUACCUUUCUAACCUCUAUUUAACCAAGAUUAAGGAGUAGCGGCAUUAGUGCUCGGUGAGGAUGACUCGUAGAGUUUAUCCGUUGUUUUGGGUCGUGUUGGUCAUGCUCUGAUCUUGUAACACUGGGGGAUGAUAGUUAUAGAGAUUUAUGAGAAUUCUCUAU
Molecule: long non-coding RNA, 409 nt
Organism: Vicia villosa (hairy vetch)
Lineage: Eukaryota; Viridiplantae; Streptophyta; Magnoliopsida; Fabales; Fabaceae
Exons: 3
Source: RefSeq, a predicted model, not a curated record